CAUUUAUCUCUCUCCGUGUUGAAAAAUUAUUUUCUUUAGAUAUAAUAAGGAUGAGCUUCGUCUCCGUUUAGGGAUUGGCUUCUUUGAUGGUCUGUGCUCGUACUUUAAUUUUACAGAUCAUUGUUAGCAAACUUAAAUUGGGACUUUAAUGUUAAUGUUAUGAUAUUUAACUAGUCAGUCAUCCUAUUAGUGCUUUAUCUUACUAUGAUGUGUACGUCUCAUAACAGAUAUAACUCAAAUUUUAGUGUUAUGGAUCGGUAUUGCUGGUCAUGCUGCCAAGUCUUGGAAGCUCAAUUGCUCCUGAAACUAAAAAUUUGGAAGUCUAGUUGAUAUCUGUGAUUUGUUAACUUUGAAUGAACAACUGAAUUGAAGUUGUGUUUGAUUGUUACAAUGUCUUUAUUAACUGAAAAGAGCAUAUCCUUUUUGGGUUCUGAAAGCUCAAUUUUCCAUUCCUGAUAAAUGAAAGACAUGUAGUUUUGGACAUGUAGUUCAAAUACUAAAAAGUAUAAAGUCAAUGGUAUAUGCAAUCAGUUUUCG
Molecule: long non-coding RNA, 537 nt
Filed under: Nicotiana benthamiana
Lineage: Eukaryota; Viridiplantae; Streptophyta; Magnoliopsida; Solanales; Solanaceae
Description: long non-coding RNA (NBEN_LNC004952)
Source: RNAcentral